Molecule: long non-coding RNA, 222 nt
Organism: Homo sapiens (human)
Lineage: Eukaryota; Metazoa; Chordata; Mammalia; Primates; Hominidae
Gene: NMBR-AS1
Product: NMBR antisense RNA 1
Source: Ensembl
UUACCUGUCGGCGCUGAGGGCAGUGAGAGUGAACACGGAAACCCCCACGGAAGUGAGCUGGAUGACAGGGAUCAGUUUGCAGCCCACCUUGCCAAACAUCCACUCGUCGAAGAAGUAGCGCGAGGCGUCCACCGGGACGCAGCUUUGCUCUUGUUUGUGAAGUUCCUGUUGUAUUGUGUGGAACUGGAGGGGAGGUCAGUCCUCCAUGCAUGUGUGUGUGCC